Molecule: long non-coding RNA, 2279 nt
Organism: Cyprinus carpio (common carp)
Lineage: Eukaryota; Metazoa; Chordata; Actinopteri; Cypriniformes; Cyprinidae
Source: Ensembl
GAACAUGAAACCAUCACUUUUUUUACUUUUUCAAGGUAUCCUGCUCUAUGAUGCUUUGGGAUGGGAAGUGAGAAUGCCGAAAUACAUCCACGGCCUCAAAGGUUCCUGUCUGGUCAUACCAUGUUCUUUCAGCUACACAUCAUAUCCACCCAAAGACCCACGUAGAGUUGUGUGGUAUCAGUGGGUCUCUAAAGGUUAUCCUUUAGUUUAUGAUCCAUGGCAUCCAAAUGAUGUCAUUGAGAAGUUCAGAUGGAAAACUGAUUUAUAUGGUGACCCAUCAAAUAGGGAUUGCAGUCUGUUAAUUAAAAACCUGCAACAGUCCCACCACGAAGAGAAAUUAUAUGCUUGGAUUGACCCUGAAAAUGUUGGAUGGCGCACCUACGCAUUUUAUGAUGUCACCUCUACUAUUCAAGUUGAUGCAAGUCCACAGCAGCCUAGCAUCAGUGUUUCUGGAGGUGAAAGGAUAGAUGACACAAUUACAGUAGAAUGUUCAACUUUCCACACGUGUCCAUACAGCAAACCAGACAUCACUCUGAACGGUGUAGAAGGAUCUGAUCAAACAAAGGAUGAACAUAUUAAAGACGGUCUGUGGAAAAUCACUCUGACACGCACAGGUGUUGUAAAGGCAGAAAACUUUUGAGUGUUCAGUAACACCUUAUGGAGGCAUAACAGUGACAGUUACAAAAAACACAAGUGCACAAUGUGAGUAAAUACAAACAUGAACUGAUUUGUGUGCUAUUAGCUAUUCACGGUAAAUGUCACAUUGAGACCUAUUACAAGAUUUCAGUUCAAUUUCAGGUGUUCAUCAUAAAAUAAUGAUUGAGCCUGAACUGGCAGAUGUCACAGAGGGUGUUGCAAAGAACUUUAUUUGUAGUCUCUACCAUUCCUGCCAGAAAGAGAAUCCAGCCAUCACAUGGAACUAUGAGAACAUGCAGGUCACAAAGGGGAGCAAAACACUUUCUGGUUUAAAUCGCAUCACCUACUCCAACAUAACCUUUCUGGGUGCAAAAGAAGAUCAUGGGAAGAAAUUGAUUUGCACUGCAAAUUUUUCUGGAGGAAACAUUACAACCUCUGUUGUUUUACAUGUAAAAUGUGUUCAUCAUAACAUAACGAUUGAGCCUGAACUGGCAGAUAUCACAGAGGGCGUCGCAAAGAACUUCAUUUGUAGCGUCUACCAUUCCUGCCAGAAUGAGAAUCCAACCAUCACAUGGAACUAUGAGAACAUGCAGGUCUCAGAGUGGAACAAAACACUUUCUGGUUUAAAUCAGGUCACCUACUCCAACAUAACCUUUCUGGGUGCAAAAGUAGAUCAUGAGAAGAAACUGAUAUGUACGGCAAAAUUUUCUGGAAGAGACAUUAUGGCAUCUGUUGUCUUAAAUGUGCAAUACCCAGUGCUCAUUGGACUGGAGACUAUUGGUCUUUACAUCCUAAUGCCAUCACUUGUGUUCCUUCUGGUUUGUAUACUUGCUGGAGUCAUCAUAUACAAGAAGCGACAAAGGGUAAUGAUUAUGAAGCUGAAUACACCAACAUGGAAGAACUCAACAUGUAUGGAAAUAUCUGAUGAGAAGCAAAAUGGGCUCAAUACAGUGUUUUUUUUUUUUUUUUUUAAGAUUAAAAAUAAUAAUUUUAUUAAUAAUAAAUUUGUUACAUUUAUCAUGUAUUGUAUCAUGUAAGCAAACAACUGCUUUGAUUUAUGUAUAUGAAUUAUAUACUUGCAUGUAAAAUUAUACAGUACUGAUUUAGCCUAUUUUUUAUUAAUUUUUUUAUUUACUACAUUCGCACCUGAUUAUUAAAUAUGAUUGAAUCAUAUUGUUACGUUCAGACAGUGCCAUACCAAACAGAAAGUUAGGCUGUAUCUUAGAAAUGCUUUAUGGUUUUGAAACAAUAUUUUGUGAAUGUUGUCACCGUCCUGGGAGUAGGACUACGUUGAGCAGUAUGCGGACAGCUCCACCUACUGGUCUAGAAAUCAUAUAAAUAGGACAUUCCGCGUAAAUUAAAAAGUGGAGCUGACACCGCUUUUUCUGUUUUCUUCAGUCAUCGUGGCCAGUGUCUAACUUUAACAUUAUCAUUAGUUAUUGUAGCUAUGGAAGGGCACAAACAUAAUCUGAACAGAGUUAGACCUAUUGCCGAUGUUCAUGUUAAAACCUUUAAAUGCCUAACAGAGCAGUUUAUGCUGUUAGCAGUUUAUUUAUUUAUUUUUUUUCUAUGAUAACAAUGUAAAAUGGAUACUGAGAAAAAAAUUAAAUAAAAAGGUUCUUAUCGUUCUGGAAGUUUAAUUU